GAGUUUGAUCCUGGCUCAGAUUGAACGCUGGCGGCAUGCCUUACACAUGCAAGUCGAACGGCAGCACGGGAGCUUGCUCCUGGUGGCGAGUGGCGAACGGGUGAGUAAUGCAUCGGAACGUAUCCUGGAGUGGGGGAUAACGUAGCGAAAGUUACGCUAAUACCGCAUAUUCUGUGAGCAGGAAAGCGGGGGACCUUCGGGCCUCGCGCUCUUGGAGCGGCCGAUGUCGGAUUAGCUAGUUGGUGAGGUAAAGGCUCACCAAGGCGACGAUCCGUAGCAGGUCUGAGAGGAUGAUCUGCCACACUGGAACUGAGACACGGUCCAGACUCCUACGGGAGGCAGCAGUGGGGAAUUUUGGACAAUGGGGGCAACCCUGAUCCAGUCAUGCCGCGUGAGUGAAGAAGGCC
RNAcentral lists this ribosomal RNA (407 nucleotides) under bacterium enrichment culture clone ALO1_GLFRUDD03HBZIC. RNAcentral describes it as "bacterial SSU rRNA". It matches the Rfam family "Bacterial small subunit ribosomal RNA", at positions 9 to 416 of the family's 1533-position model. The record is from RNAcentral.